UACGGAGGGUGCGAGCGUUGUCCGGAAUCACUGGGCGUAAAGGGCGCGUAGGUGGCCUGUGGAAGUCUGCGGUGAAAGCCCCGGCGCUCAACGCCGGGUCGGCCGUGGAUACUCUCGGGCUCGAGCUUACUAGAGGCAGAUGGAAUUCCGGGUGUAGCGGUGGAAUGCGUAGAGAUCCGGAAGAACACCGGUGGCGAAGGCGGUCUGCUGGGGUAAUGCUGGACACUGAUGCGCGACAGCGUGGGGAGCAAACAGGAGUUAGAAUACCCGGAUGAGUC
This 278-nucleotide ribosomal RNA is filed under the name uncultured bacterium. Its description in RNAcentral is "partial 16S ribosomal RNA". It matches the Rfam family "Bacterial small subunit ribosomal RNA", at positions 524 to 795 of the family's 1533-position model. The record is from RNAcentral.